Molecule: non-coding RNA, 80 nt
Organism: Hordeum vulgare subsp. vulgare (domesticated barley)
Lineage: Eukaryota; Viridiplantae; Streptophyta; Magnoliopsida; Poales; Poaceae
Source: Rfam
GCCGCCAUGGUAAAAUUGGUAGACAUGCUGCUCUUAGGAAGCAGUGUUGAAGCAUCUCGGUUCGAAUCCGAGUGGCAACA